This 1104-nucleotide ribosomal RNA is filed under the name Triticum aestivum (bread wheat). Its description in RNAcentral is "partial small subunit ribosomal RNA". The record is from RNAcentral. Lineage: Eukaryota; Viridiplantae; Streptophyta; Magnoliopsida; Poales; Poaceae.
AUGGAGCUCCUCAGCGCCAAGCAGGUAAGGCGUAUGGAGGGCAUCAGGUCCGAGGAAGUCCGCAACCUCCUUAGUUCCAUCACCGCCUCGACUAGCACCAUUGUCAACCUCACAGAGAAGUUAUCGGCACUGAUGAACGAUGUCAUUGCAUGGGCGGUGUUCGGAGGCAAGUGUGCACAACAAGGUGAGUACCUCCGGGAAUUGGAAGAAGUCACCGCGUUGGUGGGAGGCUUCUCGCUCGUCGACCUAUUCCCAUCGUCGCGGCUAGUGUGGCUGCUGAGCUCCGGUGAGCGACGGAUGAGGAGGAGCUAUGGCCGAAUCCAGCGCAUCAUCUCCGACAUCAUUGAGCAACGUAAGGACAUGCGCGAUGCAGUCAGCUCCAACGACGAGGAGGACUUGCUAGACGUGUUGCUUAGGCUGCACAUGGAAGACUCCUUGUCGUAUCCUCUAACUUUAGAGGCAAUAGGUGACAUCAUCUUUGACUUGUUCGCGGGUGGCACUGAGACCUCUGGAAUAACAUUGGAGUGGGCUAUGUCCGAGCUCUUAAAUAAUCCCGAAACUAUGAGAAAGGCACAGCUAGAGGUUCGACAAGUGGUAGGUCAGCAACAAUCUGUCAUAACUAACAAUGACCUUCGUGACCUCCACUACAUGAGAAUGGUGAUCAAGGAGGUCUUGAGGUUGCACCCUCCCGCUCCUAUACUCCCCCGAAGGGCAAGAGAAGACUGUGAAAUCAUGGGAUAUAAAAUUUCUGAAGGCACCAACGUACAGGUUAAUAUAUUCGCGAUAUGUCGGGAUUGCAGAUAUUGGGAUGCCCCCGAUACAUUUAAGCCAGAGAGGUUCAAAGAGAGCAGCAUAGAUUACAAGGGGACACAUUUUGAGAUCACACCUUUCGGGGCCGGGAGACGUCAGUGUCCUGGUAUGUUGUUUGGCACAUCAACCGUGGAGAUUGCAUUGGCAAACCUUCUGUACCACUUUGACUGGGUGAACCCUGCUGAGCCCAAUCCGGGCUCGUUGGACAUGUCCCAGAAGUUCGGGAUCAAUGUACGUAGAAAGUUCGAUUUAGAGAUUAGAGCAACCUCACAUGUCCACUCCAAAGUUGCAUAG